UACGAAGGGGGCUAGCGUUGUUCGGAUUUACUGGGCGUAAAGCGCACGUAGGCGGCUCGUUAAGUCGGGGGUGAAAUCCUGGAGCUCAACUCCAGAACUGCCUUCGAUACUGGCGAUCUUGAGUCCGGAAGAGGUGAGUGGAACUCCUGGUGUAGAGGUGGAAUUCGUAGAUAUUAGGAAGAACACCAGUGGCGAAGGCGGCUCACUGGUCCGGUACUGACGCUGAGGUGCGAAAGCGUGGGGAGCAAACAGG
This 253-nucleotide ribosomal RNA is filed under the name uncultured bacterium. Its description in RNAcentral is "partial 16S ribosomal RNA". It matches the Rfam family "Bacterial small subunit ribosomal RNA", at positions 524 to 776 of the family's 1533-position model. The record is from RNAcentral.